GCGGGGCUGGGCCCGGGGCGGAGCGGAGCGGGGGCGGUGCAGGGCGGUGCUCCCGCCCGCUGGGCCGCGCCGUGCUGGGGAGAGGGCGGAGCGCGGCCUGCGGCCCUCGCCAUGGCCAAGCACGUUUUUCUCACCGGACCCCCAGGUGUUGGAAAAACUACUUUGAUACAGAAAGUCACUCAGGCUCUAAAAUCCUCGGGCAUUCCCAUUGAUGGAUUUUACACAGAGGAAGUUAGAGAAGGUGGCAGGAGAACAGGAUUUGAUGUUGUCACUUUAUCUGGAAAACGAGGACCUUUAUCUAGAGUCAGUUCUGAUUCUUCUACUUCAAGACGUGAAUAUCGGGUUGGACAGUAUGUUGUAGACCUUGUUUCAUUUGAGCAUUUGGUUCUACCUGUGCUGAGAAAUGUAAGCCAUGGCAGUGAUGCAGAGAAAAAAAUUUGUGUCAUAGAUGAGAUUGGUAAAAUGGAACUCUUCAGCCAGGCUUUUAUUCAAGCUGUUCGUCAAAUGCUGGCUGGCUCAGGGACCAUGGUGCUUGGAACUAUUCCAAUACCUAAGGGAAAGCCAUUGGAUCUUGUUGAAGAAAUAAGAAGUAGGAAAGAUGUGAAAGUGUUCAAUACUGGCUUGCGGAAGUAUUACCAGUAAUCAUAUUCAAGAAAAAAAAAAGGAAACAAAAAAACCCAGCAGUAGUGGAGCUUGCAGAAACGCUUUCUAGGAGAAAGACACUUGUAAAUGGAGCGUACUUUCUCUGCAGUCAGUGAACCAAUUUUGGGAUUCAUUAUAUUAUCUUUACAGCCAUAAUUUUCAGAAUACUAGGGCCUCAGAGUGCAUUUCUGAUCAGAUGCGGGGAGAUUCUCAAAAACUUAGCACAACAAAACAGCCUGUUCACAGGAAUACGUGUUAGUAAGGAAAACAGAAACAGCAUUUUGCAAGACAUCUUGGCAGCUGUGGAAUCCUGCAGAAAAUGAAGACCUUUUCUUGCCUGUAAACGCUAAAGCCUUUAUUUCAACAAAACAUUACGACAUUUUGCGGACGUUUUAGAGUCUGUCCUUCCUCCUUUAGCCCCUGGAGGCUUUACUGGAGCCUUCAGGGUAAGCAAGGUAAAGCUGGUAAUACUCGAACAUGUGAAAAUGAGAUAGCAGUAUUCUUGUUUAUUCAGUUCACAAGGCAAUCCAUUCAAAAGAUUGAACAGAUGCAUAUUUAACAUCCAGUUCUAAUCUGGGUAUUUGGAAGUUAGGUGGCCUGACUCCGAUCCUAGUUGCACCAUGUAAAAGCAAUUAACUGUCAGAACUGUUUGAGAUCUUCGUCCUUUCACUGUGCUGAGGACUGUUCUGCCUAAAGAGCAAUUCAAUAUCUGGAACGUAGCCCUGGUGUAACAGAACAGAACCCUGCCCAAAAUGUGCUCAGCCUGCUUCAUGUAGAAGUAUCUUUGCUGUUGGUGACCCAGCUUAGGUGCGUCCAGGUGUGUUUCGCCAUGGGUGUUGACAAUUCACAUGGUACAAGGAAUAAGCAGAUGCUCUCCCCCUACCCCCAGAUACCCCUUCCUCCAGUUGCAGUACAAGAAGGGUUAUCUAGAAUUUAAAGGAAAUUUCUUGUAGUGCCAAGUGACAUUUACAGAACUCUGCUUCAGGAGAAAAAAAUAACCAACUCUCCUAAGUGGCCCUGACAGUAGUUGGUAAGAGGGCUGCAUUCUGGGAUUAUUUUUAAGUUUCUUAUGGCAAUCCCGCCUCGCACCCCCUUAAAAAAAAUUAUAUAUAAAUCUUCAAAUCCAUAAAGUUCAGUCAAAUCUUGAGUUGUGUAUUAAUUCAGGAUCAACUUCAUGCUGCAUUCGUCUAUAUGGGUUUUACAGUCCAUUAUGUUUAUUGAUACUUUGGUUGGUUGGUUUUUUGUCUUAUUCAGUUCUGUACAUGGUUAAUGGUGAAAUAAGUGUUUGAGAGUGUUAGACAAUGUGUUUCCCUAUGACGUGUGCAAACAUGUUCAGGAAAAGUGCUACCACUUAAUCAGUUUUGCAUGUUGUGAAAACAGAAUUCCCUCCCAGGUGCACACUUGUUCAUUGUACGAUUUAUAGUCAUCUCUGGCUGUAAAAAGUUAUUAAGAAUUUGGUCAUUUCUUAAGAUUUUUUUCUGUGCAGUUCAACAACUGUUAAAAUGAGCAAGCUAUAUAAAAGCAUUUUCAAAUAUGA
This is an RNA transcript of Falco peregrinus (peregrine falcon), 2179 nucleotides long. It is a transcript of the gene named nucleoside-triphosphatase, cancer-related, with no coding region annotated. The transcript is spliced from 6 exons. The record is from RefSeq and is a predicted model, not a curated record. NCBI's taxonomy places the organism in Eukaryota, Metazoa, Chordata, Aves, Falconiformes, Falconidae.